This 836-nucleotide ribosomal RNA is filed under the name Enterococcus casseliflavus. RNAcentral's name for it is "bacterial SSU rRNA". It matches the Rfam family "Bacterial small subunit ribosomal RNA", at positions 100 to 924 of the family's 1533-position model. The record is from RNAcentral. Lineage: Bacteria; Bacillati; Bacillota; Bacilli; Lactobacillales; Enterococcaceae.
GCGGGUGAGUAACACGUGGGUAACCUGCCCAUCAGAAGGGGAUAACACUUGGAAACAGGUGCUAAUACCGUAUAACACUAUUUUCCGCAUGGAAGAAAGUUGAAAGGCGCUUUUGCGUCACUGAUGGAUGGACCCGCGGUGCAUUAGCUAGUUGGUGAGGUAACGGCUCACCAAGGCAACGAUGCAUAGCCGACCUGAGAGGGUGAUCGGCCACACUGGGACUGAGACACGGCCCAGACUCCUACGGGAGGCAGCAGUAGGGAAUCUUCGGCAAUGGACGAAAGUCUGACCGAGCAACGCCGCGUGAGUGAAGAAGGUUUUCGGAUCGUAAAACUCUGUUGUUAGAGAAGAACAAGGAUGAGAGUAAAAUGUUCAUCCCUUGACGGUAUCUAACCAGAAAGCCACGGCUAACUACGUGCCAGCAGCCGCGGUAAUACGUAGGUGGCAAGCGUUGUCCGGAUUUAUUGGGCGUAAAGCGAGCGCAGGCGGUUUCUUAAGUCUGAUGUGAAAGCCCCCGGCUCAACCGGGGAGGGUCAUUGGAAACUGGGAGACUUGAGUGCAGAAGAGGAGAGUGGAAUUCCAUGUGUAGCGGUGAAAUGCGUAGAUAUAUGGAGGAACACCAGUGGCGAAGGCGGCUCUCUGGUCUGUAACUGACGCUGAGGCUCGAAAGCGUGGGGAGCGAACAGGAUUAGAUACCCUGGUAGUCCACGCCGUAAACGAUGAGUGCUAAGUGUUGGAGGGUUUCCGCCCUUCAGUGCUGCAGCAAACGCAUUAAGCACUCCGCCUGGGGAGUACGACCGCAAGGUUGAAACUCAAAGGAAUUGACGGGGCCCCCC